Molecule: long non-coding RNA, 955 nt
Filed under: Coffea arabica (coffee)
Lineage: Eukaryota; Viridiplantae; Streptophyta; Magnoliopsida; Gentianales; Rubiaceae
Description: long non-coding RNA (CARA_LNC000031)
Source: RNAcentral
AAGAAAGGGAAACCUGAAGCUCUACAGUCUCCUCUUUAUAUGUUGCCUUUAUGGUCAUGAUCCUCUCAUUCUGCACUGGAUUUAUCUGCAGCAUAGGCUCCCAACAGAAUCCCUGGAACUUUCAAGGUGUUGAUUCUGAGUAGGCUCAAGAAGAACUUUGAUUGUAUUCUUCCUUUGUGACACCAUAUCAAACAUCAACUUCUGCAAGUCCACAUCAUUGGAUACUAAAAUGUAGUUAUUAUCUUCCUUUUGAUACUUGAUCUCAAAACUUCCAGUUGUCAAAUUUAACCUCUUUGUCACUUCUUUCUCAAAAUCCAUUAUCCCUGAAGAGAGAGAGAGUGGAAACUUAAUCAUGUCUUCCUUAAAUGAUGCCUUUAUCAUAAUUGUGCCUUCAUUUUCUGGUGCUGGUGGUGCCUUUAUACUCUCAUUGUGCACUGGAUUUAUCUGCAGCAUAGGGCUACCAACAGAACCCCUGGAACUUUCAAGGUGUUGAUUCUGAGUAGGCUCAAGAAGAACUUUGAUUGUAUUCUUCCUUUGUGACAUCAUAUCAAACAUCAACUUCUGCAAGUCCACAUCAUUGGAUACUAAAAUGCAGUUAUUAUCUUCCUUUUGAUACUUGAUCUCAAAACUUCCAGUUGUCAAAUUUAACCUCUUUGUCACUUCUUUCUCAAAAUCCAUUAUCCCUGAUGAGAGAGAGAGUGGAAACUUAAUCAUGUCUUCCUAAAUGCUGCCUUUAUCAUAAUUGUCCUUCAUUUUCUGGUGCCGGUGGUGCCUUUAUACUCUCAUUCUGCACUGGAUUUAUCUGCAGCAUAGGGCUCCCAACAGAAUCCCUGGAACUUCCAAGGUGUUGAUUCUGAGUAGGCUCAAGAAGAACUUUGAUUGUAUUCUUCCUUUGUGACAUCAUAUCAAACAUCAACUUCUGCAAGUCCACAUCAUUGGAUACUAAAAUGUAGUU